This is an RNA transcript of Mandrillus leucophaeus (drill), 1040 nucleotides long. It is a transcript of the gene named glyceraldehyde-3-phosphate dehydrogenase pseudogene, with no coding region annotated. The transcript has a single exon. Lineage: Eukaryota; Metazoa; Chordata; Mammalia; Primates; Cercopithecidae. The record is from RefSeq and is a predicted model, not a curated record.
GACAGACAGUCGCAUCUUCUCUCACAUCACCAGCCGCGUCCCUGAGGCACCAUGGUGAAGGUGAAGGUAGGAGUCAACGGAUUGGGUCAUAUUGGGCGCCUGGUCACGAGGGCUGCUUUUAACUUUGGUAAAGUGGAUAUGGUCGCCAUCAAUGACCCCUUCAUUGACCUCAACUACAUGGUCUACAUGUUGCCGUAUGAUUCCACCCAUGGCAAAUCCCAUGGCACCAUCAAGGCUGAGAACAGGAAGCCUGUCAUUAAUGGAAAUCCCAUCACCAUCCUCCAGGAGCGAGAUCCUUCCAAAAUAAAGUGGGGCGAUGCUGGCGCUGAGUACAUUGUGGAGUCCACCGGUGUCUUCACCCCCAUGGAGAAGGCUGGGGCUCACUUGCAGGAAGCAGUCAAAAGGGUUAUCAUCUCUGCCCCCUCUGCUGACGCCCCCAUGUUUGUGAUGGGCGUGAACCAUGAGAAGUACGACAACAGCCUCAAGAUCGUCAGCAAUGCCUCCUGCACUAACCGCUUAGCGCCCCUGGUCAAGGUCAUCCAUGACAACUUCGGUAUCGUGGAAGGACUCAUGACCACAGUACACGCCAUCACUGUCACCCAGAAGACUGUGGAUGGCCCCUCCAGAAACUGUGGCGUGACAGCUGCAGGGCUCUCCAGAACAUCAUCCCUGGCUCUACUGGCGCUGCCGAGGCUGUGAGCAAGGUCAUCCCUGAGCUGAAUGGGAAGCUCACUGGCAUGGCCUUCCAUGUCCCCACUGCCAACGUGUCAGUCAUGGACGUGACUUGCCAUCUGGAAAAACCUGCCAGAUAUGAUGACAUCAAGAAGGUGUGAAGCAGGCAUUGGAGGGGGCCCCCUCAAGGGCAUCCUGGGCUACACUGAGCACCAGGUGGUUUCCUCUGACUUCAACAGCAACACUCACUCUUCCACCUUCAAUGCUGAGGCUGGCACUUUGUCAAGCUCAUUUCCUGGUAUGACAGUGAAUCUGGCUACAGCAACAGGGUGGUGGACUUCAUGGCCCACAUGGCCUCUAAGAAGUAA